GUGCAGCAGGCGAGAAUUUUUCACAAUGGGCGCAAGCCUGAUGGAGCGACGCCGCGUGGGGGAUGAAUGGCUUCGGCCCGUAAACCCCUGUCAUUUGCGAUCAAACCUCAUUAUUUAAAAGAUGAUGAGCUGAUAGUAGCGAAAGAGGAAGGGACGGCUAACUCUGUGCCAGCAGCCGCGGUAAUACAGAGGUCCCAAGCGUUGUUCGGAUUCACUGGGCGUAAAGGGUGCGUAGGUGGUGAGGUAAGUCGGAAUGUGAAAGCUCGGAGCUCAACUCCGAAAUGGCAUUGGAAACUACCUUGCUCGAGGUUGAGGGGGGACUGGAAUACUUGGUGUAGCAGUGAAAUGCGUAGAUAUCAAAGUGGAACACCAGUGGCGAAGGCGAGUCCCUGGACAACUCCUGACACUGAGGCACGAAAAGCUAGGGGAGCAAACAGGAUUAGAUACCCCUGUUAGU
Molecule: ribosomal RNA, 457 nt
Filed under: uncultured organism
Description: bacterial SSU rRNA
Rfam family: Bacterial small subunit ribosomal RNA
Source: RNAcentral